Molecule: long non-coding RNA, 1568 nt
Filed under: Homo sapiens (human)
Lineage: Eukaryota; Metazoa; Chordata; Mammalia; Primates; Hominidae
Description: HSALNT0379608
Source: RNAcentral
GAUCAAGAACCGACCAAUUCCAGACACAGUAGUACGGCAAGGCCCGCCUGAGCUUGUCGUAAUUCACGUUGGUCUUGUUCUUGCGUCGCCCCCACGGCUAGGCCACCUUCCUCUGCAACCACCACCAUCCCAUGAAGUCCAGGAGCUGUGGCCGUUGCCUUGCUCUCAGCUGCAGCAGAAAGUGCCAGAGCGUCACAGGGUGGACUGACAAAGAUUCUCUGCUUGGCCAAACUACAGUCGGGCUCUGGAACCUUCUCCUAGGCCAGCCUGCACUUCCUUGAGGCGCCAGCAGCCAGCGUGCGGAGUUAAGUGCCUGUGCCCUUUGUAUGAAAGUGUCACCGUUGUCCUGGUCUUGAGGGGUGGCUUUCGGGUGUAAACGGCCGGCAGAGGGCUUUUCUGAUUUGUAUGUGAGCUGGGUUCCUGGGAUCCUGAUCUGGGCGCGUCUUUGAGGCUUGCCUCUGAGGUCCGCUGUCCCCGCAUGAGCGGACGGCAGAGCGCGCCUGCCUGGGAGCCCAGGAGGCUGCCGGGCCAGGGACCCCGGGAACCCCGGGAACCCCGGGAACCUCUCAGCAGCAGAACUGCAGUGGCACAAGACGGCCACCAGGGGGUCCCGAGCCGGUCUCUGGGGUCCCUGCUGGGGUUGAGGGGCUGUGGCUGCAGACGCGGACCUGGCAGGGGGACCCGAACCCCAACAGGGCCCUGACCGGCCCCAAGGCUGAGCCUGCCCUGUCCCACCAGCGCCCAGACCCCGAUGUUGGGCCGGGGCCUUCCUUUCCUUGUCCCGACCCUCUGAGGUUCCUCCCCGGGGUGUGAGCUGAUUGUGAGCACACGGAGGCCUUCCUCCUCUCUGGGGCUCUGGAGCCCCUGGGGGCCUGCAGGGCCUGGGCCUGGGCCUGGCUGCUGUCCUCUGUGCUCAGGAGGCUUCUCCCACCCACCCACUUCCGGGCACAGCCCCCAGCCCCACACCCAGCCGCCGGGAGGGCAUCCCCAGGGGAGGACCCUCUGCUCCGGAGCCGCGUCCCUUGUCCUCCAGGGACAGUGGCCGGAGGCUGGUGCCUCAAGCUCGUGCGCCUCAUGCAGCAUCCCGUGGGUCCAUUCGCGACCAUAGUGAAGACCCGCAGGCCCCAGGCCCGAGCCGGCUCCCGGGCAGGCCGCGUUCUGGGGCUUCUGCGGGGACACUGGGCCACGCCAGGAGGAAGGGUCCUGACCAGGGUCAGGGAGCAUCGGAUGCUGCCGGCAGAAGUGGGGGGCGCGGGGCCCCACCGAGGAGCCCAGGCCAGCUUCCCCAUCUGCCCCAGGUGCAGCCCUGCAAGGCCCCCAGGCCACAGCGUCCCCAGGUCACAGCGUCCCCAGGUCACAGCGUCCCCACACCCAGGGAAUGCAGGACUUUGGCAGAGGCUGGGAUCCCAGACCACAGAGCCCCACAAGCUGACGCCUGUUCGCGGAUGCCACAGCCAUCUCCGCGGCAGGCGCUGGGGAGGGGAGGGGAUCACAGUGCUGGACACGGACCGGGCCCCAGCCCUGAGCCCAAGGCAGAGCCGGGAUCCGGCCCCGAGAGCGCCCCUGCC